Molecule: microRNA, 22 nt
Filed under: Caenorhabditis briggsae
Lineage: Eukaryota; Metazoa; Nematoda; Chromadorea; Rhabditida; Rhabditidae
Description: cbr-miR-35a
Gene: cbr-miR-35a
Source: miRBase by way of RNAcentral
UCACCGGGUGAAAACUUGCAAG